GCAUGUAGAUCAAGGCGUUAUUCUGCAUUCAUCCAUGAGCUAUAGUACAUCUCCGUCCCAGGGAAUUCUGAUAAUACAAGAGAACUAUCACAAAGUUGCAAUCAACUGACAUGUUCACAGAUCAUCCUCGUGUGAAGAAUCCACAUAUUCUAUUUGUACUUCCUCUUCUUCAACAUCGUCAUUGCCUGCUGAAGAAGGCUGCCCAUUGACAUCUACAUUCACACCAUUGACCUUCCU
This 237-nucleotide unclassified non-coding RNA is filed under the name Hevea brasiliensis (rubber tree). The record is from RNAcentral. Lineage: Eukaryota; Viridiplantae; Streptophyta; Magnoliopsida; Malpighiales; Euphorbiaceae.